This 301-nucleotide ribosomal RNA is filed under the name uncultured bacterium. RNAcentral describes it as "partial 16S ribosomal RNA". It matches the Rfam family "Bacterial small subunit ribosomal RNA", at positions 509 to 807 of the family's 1533-position model. The record is from RNAcentral.
CAGCCGCCGCGGGAAAACGAAGGGGGCUAGCGUUGCUCGGAAUGACUGGGCGUAAAGGGCGCGUAGGCGAAUUGUUUAGUUAGGCGUGAAAUUCCUGGGCUUAACCUGGGGACUGCGCUUAAUACAGGCAGUCUAGAGUGAGGAAGAGGGUUGUGGAAUUCUCAGUGUAGAGGUGAAAUUCGUAGAUAUUGGGAAGAACACCGGUGGCGAAGGCGGCAACCUGGUCCUUGACUGACGCUGAGGCGCGAAAGCGUGGGGAGCAAACAGGAUUAGAUACCCGCGUAGUCCCUGUCUCUUAUAC